Molecule: ribosomal RNA, 497 nt
Filed under: uncultured bacterium
Lineage: Bacteria
Description: partial 16S ribosomal RNA
Rfam family: Bacterial small subunit ribosomal RNA
Source: RNAcentral
GAUGAACGCUGGCGGCGUGCCUAAUACAUGCAAGUCGAGCGAACAGACGAGGAGCUUGCUCCUCUGACGUUAGCGGCGGACGGGUGAGUAACACGUGGAUAACCUACCUAUAAGACUGGGAUAACUUCGGGAAACCGGAGCUAAUACCGGAUAAUAUAUUGAACCGCAUGGUUCAAUAGUGAAAGACGGUUUUGCUGUCACUUAUAGAUGGAUCCGCGCCGCAUUAGCUAGUUGGUAAGGUAACGGCUUACCAAGGCAACGAUGCGUAGCCGACCUGAGAGGAUGAGCAGCAACACUGGAACAGAGACACGGGCCAGACGAAUACGGGAGGCAGAAGUGGGGAAUAUUGAGCAAUGGGCGAAAGAUUGACGGAGCAACGUAGAGUGGGUGAUGAAGGUCUUCGGAUCGUAAAACUCUGUUAUUGGGGAAGAAAAAAAGUGGAAGAAACAAUGGACGUCUUGACGGUACCUAAACAGAAAGAAACGGCUAACUACGUG